CCUAAAAGUGCUGUAACAGUUGCAUAUGUGUGAAUAUAAAAAGAGAUGAACUGGGACUGGUAUACCGUUUUCCCUUCUGUAUUCAAGCCCGGUGACAAUGAAGACCUUCUUGUUCGUCCUUUUGGUGGUUUUAUUCUUGUUGGCAAUUGGAAGUGCCUUAUCACCACCAGAAGCUAAAGCCCAGGGGUGUUGGUGGGGACAUUGUAGUGGGAGAAAGAGAGAGAUUUCGGAGGAUGCCGCCAGAGCAACCGUGGAAGACACCAAUCCUGACAACCCAGACUGUGGUUGGUGGGGGUGUGGUAAAAAAAGGCGGGAAAGAGAAAUCCAGAAAAAAAUCAUGCAAGCCAGGAGAGAAGCUGAGCUAAACGAAUAAUUAAAAUGUCGUUUUCUUCUUUGUAUGUUGGCAAAGAAUUUCCGAAGAGUUCAAUGUAAUAUAAAGCAAAGUAUUUGCUGAUUAAAAUUCAUGUUUGUUUUUC
This is a long non-coding RNA of Saccostrea cuccullata (small rock oyster), 476 nucleotides long. RefSeq lists it as uncharacterized. Lineage: Eukaryota; Metazoa; Mollusca; Bivalvia; Ostreida; Ostreidae. The transcript is spliced from 3 exons. The record is from RefSeq and is a predicted model, not a curated record.